UGACGCCCCCUGGUCCUGACUCCCAGCCGCCACGCCCUGACACACUUCCCCGGUGCCAGGUCGGAGCGGAUGGGGAUCAGGACCCGGGGUCCGGCCCCC
Microbacterium sp. C448 is the source of this 99-nucleotide regulatory RNA element. It matches the Rfam family "mraW RNA". The record is from Rfam. NCBI's taxonomy places the organism in Bacteria, Bacillati, Actinomycetota, Actinomycetes, Micrococcales, Microbacteriaceae.